This 253-nucleotide ribosomal RNA is filed under the name uncultured bacterium. Its description in RNAcentral is "partial 16S ribosomal RNA". It matches the Rfam family "Bacterial small subunit ribosomal RNA", at positions 524 to 776 of the family's 1533-position model. The record is from RNAcentral.
UACGUAGGGUGCUAGCGUUGUCCGGAAUUAUUGGGCGUAAAGAGCUCGUAGGCGGUUUGUCGCGUCUGCUGUGAAAACUGGGGGCUCAACCCCCAGCCUGCAGUGGGUACGGGCAGACUAGAGUGCGGUAGGGGAGAUUGGAAUUCCUGGUGUAGCGGUGGAAUGCGCAGAUAUCAGGAGGAACACCGAUGGCGAAGGCAGAUCUCUGGGCCGUAACUGACGCUGAGGAGCGAAAGCGUGGGGAGCGAACAGG